Long non-coding RNA from Sinocyclocheilus anshuiensis, 284 nucleotides. RefSeq lists it as uncharacterized. Lineage: Eukaryota; Metazoa; Chordata; Actinopteri; Cypriniformes; Cyprinidae. The transcript has 4 exons. The record is from RefSeq and is a predicted model, not a curated record.
GAUGCAGUAGCAAAUAUUCCUGGACCUUAGACCCUCACAGUAAUAUUAACGACAUAAAUACACCAUUUCUGGCGAGGAAUGUUUGAAAAGAUACAUAUUUCAACUCUGUUAUGGGAAAAAUAUCACUGUGAGCAAUGCUUACUGUAAAUAAUCUGGGUUGAUGCUAAACCGAUUUUGGAAAAGGAAUGUCAUGGGUUCAGACACAAAAAAAAUAUUUUUCUUGGCAGAAAGCAGAAGUAUGCUCACUGUAAAUAAUCUGGUGUUGUGCUGUGCCAGCUAAGGAG